Molecule: long non-coding RNA, 1305 nt
Filed under: Homo sapiens (human)
Lineage: Eukaryota; Metazoa; Chordata; Mammalia; Primates; Hominidae
Description: long intergenic non-protein coding RNA 2109
Source: RNAcentral
ACCCCAUGACUUCCAGAGACAGAGGAAAGGCUGAAGGUUGAGUUGAUUACCAGUAGCUCACGAUAUAAUCAUUCAUGCCUACAUAACACAGCUUUCAUAAGAACCCAAUAGGACAGGGUUCAAGGACCCUCUAAAGAAUGCCACACCUAUAGAGGCAUGGAAACUCUUUGCCACUUUCAUCUGACUAUUGAUCUAUAUCCUUUGUAAUGCCUCUUAUAAGAAAUGGGCAGAUUCUAGCAGUGUUUGUGAGAAAAACUGAUGGAUCCUGCAGAUUAACUAUGGACAGCCAAAUAUUGAGUAAAGUGAUGUCUACAACAGCAUCAGCUAUGCCUGAUAUGGUGUUAAUUCACAUUGUGAAGUCCUCAAUAGGAAAAAGAUGCCUCCCUGGUCGACCUUCCUGGAAAGUAUGCAUAUCAUUACUGCUUAGAUUUUGUUGGAGAGAAAUCACACUACCAUCAAAGACAACGGGUCAAAAAGAAUGCCGUCCUAAGCUGAGAAGCCAUCUUCCUAACGACAGCCAUGUAAUAUGAAAGGGAAAAACACACUGUUAUUGAAGAACUUAUCAGCUAUGUCACAUCUUCCACACAAAUACUCAGGAAAGUUAAAAGAAAAUUUUACCUCGGACACAGUUGAUGAUUGCUAAAGUCCUAUUGCAUGCUUUAAGAUGCCUUGCGUUUGGUGAAUUGAAGCCUGAUAUGUCAACAUACUCUCUGUAAACACAGCAGCACAGAGGGCAAAGAAACACUUAUCCAGCACCACAGCUAGGACAAAAGGAAUUAUUUUGACAGUAAAUGGACUUGCAGCUUAAGGUUGGUAUGUACCCAAUUGUGACUAAACCAAAAGAAACAAAUCUGGAAACUGAAGUAUCAAUACGUGAAAAGCGUUCUUUUGGUAUUGGGAGUGCCAGUUGUCUUUGUUUCAUGAACUACUUCUCCGUAAUAGCAUGCAGCCAUCUUCAAGAGGUAAAACAGCAUCCCCAGGAUAAACAGGAAUACUACACUCUUCCUUAAAUAACAAAAACUGCGGCUGGGCGUGGUGGCUCACACUUGUAAUCCCAGCACUUUGGGAGGCCGAGGUGGGCGGAUCACGAGGUCAGGAGAUGGAGACCAUCUUGGCUAACACGGUGAAACCCCGUCUCUACUAAAAAUACAAAAAAUUACACAGGCGCGGUGGCGGGCGCCUAUAGUCCCAGCUACCCGGGAGGCUGAGGCGGGAGAAUGGCGCGAACCUGGGAGGCGGAGCUUGCAGUGAGCCAAGAUCGCGCCACUGCACUCCAGCCUGGGCGACAGAGCAAAACUUCGUCUC